CAACUACUUUAAAUGAAAUGUCCUUAAAAGACUGUUCUGGAGUCCCUGAGAGCCCUACCAAGCAGACAUCACAGACUCCAGUGCAGUGAAGUGCCUCAUGCAAAGGAGUUGAGAUUCCUAGGAUAUCCAGACGUGAUUCAUCACAUCAAGAGCAAAGCAGAAAUCCUACGGUGCUGUGUAAGGUUAGCUGCUUAUGUUCUGGUUUCCUACAUCUUCUUAAUGCCUUACAGAAUUAAGUCCUGCUGACUGUAAUGAAAGUCUGUAAAAUUAUUAGAUACUUAAUAACAAUAUAUUGUAUAAGGCAAUGUCAGCAGAUUGGCAUUAACAAUAACGUAGAUCUUACCUACAGAAUUCUAC
This 357-nucleotide long non-coding RNA is filed under the name Cyanistes caeruleus (blue tit). Its description in RNAcentral is "lncRNA (ENSCCEG00000023480.1)". Lineage: Eukaryota; Metazoa; Chordata; Aves; Passeriformes; Paridae. The record is from RNAcentral.